This 894-nucleotide ribosomal RNA is filed under the name uncultured candidate division GN03 bacterium. RNAcentral describes it as "bacterial SSU rRNA". It matches the Rfam family "Bacterial small subunit ribosomal RNA", at positions 481 to 1377 of the family's 1533-position model. The record is from RNAcentral.
CCAAAGGAAGCUCCGGCUAACUCCGUGCCAGCAGCCGCGGUAAUACGGAGGGAGCAAACGUUGUUCGGAUUUACUGGGUGUAAAGGGUGCGUAGGCGGCUACGUGUGUCAGAGGUGAAAGCUCACGGCUCAACCGUGGAACUGCCUUUGAAACUGCGUAGCUUGAGUCCGAGAGAGGAUGGUGGAAUUCCUGGUGUAACGGUGAAAUGUGCAGAUAUCAGGAAGAACACCGGUGGCGAAGGCGGCCAUCUGGCUCGGUACUGACGCUGAGGCACGAAAGCUAGGGUAUCGAACGGGAUUAGAUACCCCGGUAGUCCUAGCCGUAAACGAUGUCCACUAGGUGUCGGAGGUCCUACCCCUUCGGUGCCGGAGCUAACGCAUUAAGUGGACCACCUGGGGAGUACGCUCGCAAGGGUGAAACUCAAAGGAAUUGACGGGGGCCCGCACAAGCGGUGGAGCAUGUGGUUUAAUUCGAUGCAACGCGAAGAACCUUACCUGGGCUUGACAUGCAGGGGACAGGUGUAGAGAUACACCCUUCUUCGGACUCCUGUACAGGUGCUGCAUGGCUGUCGUCAGCUCGUGUCGUGAAAUGUUGGGUUAAGUCCCGCAACGAGCGCAACCCUUGUCCUUAGUUGCCAGCACGUCAUGGUGGGAACUCUAGGGAGACUGCCGGUGACAAACCGGAGGAAGGUGGGGACGACGUCAAGUCAUCAUGGCCCUUACGUCCAGGGCUACACACGUGCUACAAUGGCACAUACAGAGGGCAGCGAACCCGCGAGGGGAAGCCAAUCCCAAAAAGUGUGCCUCAGUUCGGAUCGCAGUCUGCAACUCGACUGCGUGAAGUCGGAAUCACUAGUAAUCGCGGAUCAGCAUGCCGCGGUGAAUCCGUUCCCGG